This 21-nucleotide non-coding RNA is filed under the name Caenorhabditis elegans. The record is from RNAcentral. Lineage: Eukaryota; Metazoa; Nematoda; Chromadorea; Rhabditida; Rhabditidae.
UGAAAGUUUCUCUGUGGUCUC